Molecule: transfer-messenger RNA, 373 nt
Filed under: Puia dinghuensis
Lineage: Bacteria; Pseudomonadati; Bacteroidota; Chitinophagia; Chitinophagales; Chitinophagaceae
Description: Standard tmRNA
Rfam family: transfer-messenger RNA
About the family: Bacterial tmRNA, also known as 10Sa RNA or SsrA, is named for its dual tRNA and mRNA-like properties. Its role is to liberate the mRNA from a stalled ribosome.
Source: Rfam by way of RNAcentral
GGGGGUGCCUGGUUUUGACAGCAUAGAUCUUUGAAGGUGUAAGCAUGUCGUGCGUUGGAUAAUUAGCACGUUAAUCUGAAUAUUCAAACUUCAAAUGGCAAUACUCAGUAUGCCAUGGCUGCCUAAUCAGUGAUUAGAUAGUCAUUUGGGCCGUGCUGGCCGGUUCGCCCGUUACCACGCUGCACCGCCGACUCAACACAAACACGGGAUGCUGCAACAGAAGGCUGUGCCUGUUGCUUAAGCCCAUUCAGCUAAGGAGGAGGUUGGUUUGUCCGGCCCCGGCCGCCUCCCGACAAUCAAUGCCGGAAUAAACAUGUAGAAAGCUUUUGGCGAUUAUGUUUGGACAGGGGUUCGAGUCCCCUCACCUCCACCA